GCUCCAGCAGAGACAGAGAGGGCAAGCGCUCCCGUUCCUGACCCUGCGUGAGGCUGUGCCUGACCCUUCUGGGUGAGCAGCUGGUGGGGAACUGGCCUUCAAAAUGCACCACUUGUCUGACAGCAUGGAAAGUAAACUGUCACCUGCCAAUCCCUAUACCAUGGAAUACACCUCUUGGAAUUUACUUCAUCAAAUUUCAGUCUUAGGACUGAGUAUGGCAGGAAGCAAAAGGUUUGAGCUGGCUGAACAUGGUCCCCUGGGUUAGAAUCAGUGCUACUUACAAGCUCGUGACGUGCCGGGUUGGUCCCCCCGUGCAGAAGGUCUGCGAAUGGAUUUCCCCCAGCCUUGCAGAGGCUUCGUUCUUGUCAAAGCAUCUGCCCUGCAGGCCUGGGCAGCUGGGGAGCCUUGACCCUUUUCUGAGCCAGGCUCCCAGACAGCGCGAAAGAGCCCAGAAUAUGAAAACUGCCUCUCAAGAAAAACAUAAAUUAUGAAGUGAAAAAACAUUGCUUUCUGCCAGGAUAUGGUUUGUGUACCCCCAAAGCAGAAGGAAAAACUCCAUGGAGGAAAAGCGAGGCACUUCUCAGAGCCCUGAGGGGCCUGGUGGAGCUCCCAGUUCAACUGGAUGAACAGCCCAGGGCAGGUUUUGCACAACAGCUUUUGUCUCUCUGCAAAUCUCCUUUCAGACACAGAAGGCUGGUGAUAGCUUCCAUGUGUGAAUCAAAACCUAAAAGAUUUUUAUGCCGCACGCUCUGCUUAUGCGUGAUGGAGGGGCAAUGUUACAGCCUGAAGAAGAGAUUGCUCUGAAUUGUGCUUGCACAACACCCUAGCAAUAAUUGGGAAGUAAAACAGUUCCUGCAAGCCACUGGGGUCCUCUUGCAGAAACAUAUUCUCUGGAGGGCUCAGAAAGGUGGGAGAGGAGGCAGGGACAGGGGCAGCAGAGAGAGGACGGCAGCUUGCAGAGGGGUGAGCUCUGCCUGGAGUCCAUGAAAAUGCUGUGCUGAUUGAGAAUCUGCUCGUUAGGCACUUAUUUGUCCUGGGAGGUGUGCUAGGUUCAGCCCUGGCACAGCUCAAGGAAAGCAAAUGCUGAGACAACAGUUGGACAAAGCUGGAUCAGUCUUUUUAGUACCCUGGCAUGAUUUGUUGCAGCUGAGUCCUUCCAGCAAAUCCUUAAGAUUUUCAGCAGCUAUAAGCUUUUUAUAGCAAAUCAGAUUUUUGCACCCAUCUGGUUGACUGGUUAUAAACAUACAUCUCUCAAGUUGGCUUGUUAGGUUUUGUCAGUAUUAAAAAGGAAACCCACAAUGUGCAGCGGUGUAUUCAUCUGUAGCUGCUUUUGAUGACUUAUGCCUCUUGCAAAUGAACACAAAUAACCAAGAAAAGUGGUUUGCUUAUGAAAUCCUGAAGAAAAAAGCCUAAAACCCAGCGAAGCAACAGGUUGGCUUGUUGAAAACACCCAGGCAAGCUGACCAUGGUAGCUACUGAGAGUUGAGCACGACUGUUGGAUGUUGUUGGCAUUUUUGCUGGAUUAAAUGAUCACAUCUACAAAGGGUCUGAAGUGUUUUUACUGUUAAGAUUCUAGCAGCAAAGCUGAAAGAGGGUCACAGCAGUUUUAGACCUCACUGCUGCUUCAAGAUGUAGCCCAGGACAAACUUACAGCUAGCUCCCGACUGGCAGCUGGCUUUGAGGUUCAUCCCCUGUGGGAUGUGCAGGGCCCCAGAGCUGUCUGCAGUGUGCAAGGUGUGAUCUUGGCAAGGGGAGUGCUCUUCGUGGAGCAGCCGACUCUUUCCGCAGCGCCUUUCAGGCAGAUCUGCAGUUCUGAGCUUUUUAUAGCAAGUCAAAUUUCUUCACCCAUCUGCUUGUCUGCUUAUGAAAAUGCAUCCCUCUGGUGCACUUGUUACAUUUCAUUACUGUUAAGUAAAAUAAAAAGUCAACACACCUUGCCUACCAGUUUAUUCAUCUGCAUCUGCUUUUGAUGGAGUGCAUCUCCUAUAAGGAGGUGCACAGAUGCUCUGGAUGUGCUCAUCGCCCCCUGCCACAGCUUUCAGGUCCCUAAUAAUGAAAUCAACUUUGUUAAUGACAAGUGUAAAGGUAACAUGCAGCAAACUGAAUGGCCGCACUGGGUAGCUUUCCAGGC
Molecule: non-coding RNA, 2131 nt
Organism: Anas platyrhynchos (mallard)
Lineage: Eukaryota; Metazoa; Chordata; Aves; Anseriformes; Anatidae
Source: RefSeq, a predicted model, not a curated record